UAAAUCCAAUUCUAAAAACAGCUUUCAAGUUAACAGAGUAAAAAGUGCUACUUGGUCAACAAAUAUUUUAAUUGAAGCAUAGAUUUCAUAUUUCAAGAACUAAUAAAUUAACAUAAUUAAAACAUGAAAACCAAAAUCCCAUAAAAUGCAUGCAUUGAAAACUAUUAAUGUGAGGUAAUUAGUUUUCUAUCUCUAUGUAUAUAUAAUGACUAUUUUAAUAUAAUACCUUUGUUCAUAUAAUGAGAAGGGUAAAAUUGUUUUUUUAGGACUUUACAUUUUUUAGGAAUGUUCUGUCACUUGGUUUGUUGCACGAGGAGCAAUUAACAAAUAGCAUUCACACAAUCAGUUGGUGUGGAAUCCACUUCAAUGAUUAUAUAAUGGAUAUUUUAUUUAAUAGCAUCGGUACCCAAUUUGUAUACAUAUCAUCGGUACCCAAUUUCUUGCUCACUGUAGAACUGAUGAGUGUUUUUUUGAGAUUGGUGGAGAAAGCUUGAGAAUUUAUAAGCGUGAGUUUCAAGAAAAUGUUUUGGAAAUUGUUGGCAUUUCCCCUGAGCAGGCUGAAGCAAAAUUUGGCUAUCUUUUGGAGGCUUUAGACAUGGGUGCUCCUCCACAUGUAUUUUGAUGGAUAUGGAUAUCAUGGAGCAUCACUUGAGCAAACAUAUCGAUGUUACCCUACAUCUUUUAUUGAUAAGG
Non-coding RNA from Camellia sinensis, 693 nucleotides. The record is from RefSeq and is a predicted model, not a curated record. Lineage: Eukaryota; Viridiplantae; Streptophyta; Magnoliopsida; Ericales; Theaceae.